Molecule: ribosomal RNA, 225 nt
Filed under: uncultured bacterium
Lineage: Bacteria
Description: partial 16S ribosomal RNA
Rfam family: Bacterial small subunit ribosomal RNA
Source: RNAcentral
UACAGAGGUCUCAAGCGUUGUUCGGAAUUACUGGGCGUAAAGCGUAUGCAGGCGGAUCGUUAAGUCGGGGGUGAAAUCCCGAGGCUCAACCUCGGAACUGCCUUCGAUACUGGCGAUCUUGAGUCCGGGAGAGGUGAGUGGAACUCCGAGUGUAGAGGUGAAAUUCGUAGAUAUCGGAAGAACACCAGUGGCGAAGGCGGGCUCACUGGCCCGGUACUGACGCUG